Molecule: ribosomal RNA, 115 nt
Filed under: Propithecus coquereli (Coquerel's sifaka)
Lineage: Eukaryota; Metazoa; Chordata; Mammalia; Primates; Indriidae
Source: RNAcentral
GUCUACCGCCAUACCACCCUGAACACACCCAAUCUUGUCUGAUCUCGGAAGCUAAGCAGCAUCGGGCCUGGUUAGUACUUGGAUGGGAGAAGGAGAGGAGGAUUUCUGGUUGGCU